GACGAACGCUGGCGGCGUGCUUAACACAUGCAAGUCGAACGGAAAGGCCCUGCUUUUGUGGGCUGCUCGAGUGGCGAACGGGUGAGUAACACGUGAGUAACCUGCCCUUGACUUUGGGAUAACUUCAGGAAACUGGGGCUAAUACCGGAUAGGAGCUCCCGCUGCAUGGUGGGGGUUGGAAAGUUUCGGCGGUUGGGGAUGGACUCGCGGCUUAUCAGCUUGUUGGUUGGGUAGUGGCUUACCAAGGCUUUGACGGGUAGCCGGCCUGGGAGGGUGACCGGCCACAUUAGGACUGAGAUACGGCCCAGACUCGUACGGGAGGCAACGGUGGAGAGUAUUACACAGUGGGCGGAAGCCUGAUGCGGCAACGCCGCGUGCGGGAUGACAGCCUUCGGGUUGUGAACCGCUUUCGCCUGUGACGAAGCGUUAGUGACGGUAAUGGGUGAAGAAGCACCGGCUAACUACGUG
Molecule: ribosomal RNA, 468 nt
Filed under: uncultured bacterium
Lineage: Bacteria
Description: partial 16S ribosomal RNA
Rfam family: Bacterial small subunit ribosomal RNA
Source: RNAcentral